GGCCUGGCCCGAGUAGUAGCACACAGGCGCACUGCUAUAGUCCUUCCUCACGCACAUACACGCCGGCGGAUCGUGCUGAUCGAUUCGCUUUGAGGCUCGCAGCCGCCGCCGCCGAAAACAGUCAUCCGCCGCCACUUGCCUCCUCUCUAAAAUUGAUUAUUCCUCUACAGCUCUGAUCUUUACGAAACCGUCCCAGCCAAUCCAUCCGUCUAAUGGAUCUGAAGUUGAUAUAUAGGUAAUAACAAUAUAAUACAGCACGAAAUCUCGGCUCAAUUCCGUGCAAGGAUUUGAGAUGUCACUUCCUGAAGAUGAACGAGGUGCCAAGAAAAGUAGAGAGAUGUUGGAGCCCAGGAGCCAAACGCCACCGACGAUGACUCCUACUACACUGGAGGUGCCUAAUACUACGUGCAAGCCGCCAACGACGAUCAGGAGUAGUUUAGUUGGAUCCUAGGCAGGAGGCCUGCGCCUCUUUUUAUUUGUAUCCCAGUUUGUGCUAGCCAUCUUAUGGCAACUUGUUUAACUCAUGUUUGUACUCAGAUAUUGUUGCUUCCGCUGACUCGUCUAUGAUCGAG
Molecule: long non-coding RNA, 572 nt
Organism: Triticum aestivum (bread wheat)
Lineage: Eukaryota; Viridiplantae; Streptophyta; Magnoliopsida; Poales; Poaceae
Exons: 3
Source: RefSeq, a predicted model, not a curated record